GGUAGGGAUCUCUAGCCCUUUUUGCCAUGUGAGGAUACCAUAAGAGGUCUACGACCUGGAAGAAGGUCUUCACCUGACCAUGCUGGCAUCCUGAUCUUGGACUUCCAGUCCCCAGAAAUGGCUUCCUCUGUUUGUGUGAUACAGCACUGGUCUCCAGUCACCCAGUCCUAUGAAGGCUUGGUGUAACCCUGGAGGAUUGAUGCCUGUUUAGAUCAAGCCUGGGAGCUACCUUCUGCAGACCUAAUCCUUUUAUCUGUGAGUUGUCAUAGGAAAAGGAACUGUUUAAACUUGAGAUCUAGUCACUGGUUUGCUCUGUUGUUUUGAAGACGACUAAGGGGACACGGGUUCGAGCCCUGGUCAGGGAAGAUCCCACAUGCCGCGGAGCAACUAAGCCUGUGCGCCACAACUGCUGAGCCCACGAGCCACGACUGCUGAAGCCCACGCGCCUAGAGCCCGUGCUCUGCGACAAGAGAAGCCACCGCAAUGAGAAGCAUGUGCACCACAACGAAGAGUAGCCCCCGCUCACCAAAACUAGUGAAAGCCCGCAUGCAGCAAUGAAGACCCAACGCAGCCAAAAAAGUAAAUGAGUAAGCAAGACUGAGGACUUAAGCCCAGAAGACAGCCUGUCAGACAGCUCUGAGGGACUGCCCUGAAGAGGAGAAAGGAUCUCCAACUCACUGAGAAGGACACCUUGUCCUGACCCUGGGGAAGAAAACACAACUCUGACUUUUAAAGGGACAACCAGGAUGGAAGGAAGGGCCAGCAGGCAUUGUCAAUAGAAGAGCAACCAGUCUUCCUGCUGCAGGAUCAGAGCUGCCAUUGCUGGGGCAUCCCAGCAGAAAACACCUGUGAAAAAUGAUAGCUUUUCUUUGGAACUUGUAGGUAAGGAAAAAAAAA
Long non-coding RNA from Physeter macrocephalus (sperm whale), 897 nucleotides. RefSeq lists it as uncharacterized. The transcript has 6 exons. Lineage: Eukaryota; Metazoa; Chordata; Mammalia; Artiodactyla; Physeteridae. The record is from RefSeq and is a predicted model, not a curated record.